This 6985-nucleotide long non-coding RNA is filed under the name Homo sapiens (human). RNAcentral's name for it is "HSALNT0142610". The record is from RNAcentral. Lineage: Eukaryota; Metazoa; Chordata; Mammalia; Primates; Hominidae.
AGAGUGUGAUGUUCCCCUUCUUGUGUCCAUGUGAUCUCAUUGUUCAAUUCCCACCUAAGAGUGAGAAUAUGCGGUGUUUGGUUUUUUGUUCUUGCGAUAGUUUACUGAGAAUGAUGAUUUCCAAUUUCAUCCAUAUCGCUACAAAGGACAUGAACUCAUCAUUUUUUAUGGCUGCAUAGUAUUCCAUGGUGUAUAUGUGCCACAUUUUCUUAAUCCAGUCUAUCGCUGCUAUAAAGACACAUGCACACGUAUGUUUAUUGUGGCAUUAUUCACAAUAGCAAAGACUUGGAACCAACCCAAAUGUCCAACAAUGAGAGACUGGAUUAAGAAUUAUGUAUUCUGGAUACUGGACCCUUAUCAGAUGUAUUUGCAAAUGUUUCCCAUUGUGUAAGUUUUUACUUUCUUUGCAGUGUCCUUUGAUGUAAAAAUAGUUUAAACUUUUGAUGGAGACCAAUUUAUCUGUUUUUUCUUUGAUUGCUUAUGCUUUUAGUGUCAUACCUGAGAAUCCAUGAUCAAAUUCAAGGUCAUUGGGAUUUACCCCUAUGUUUUCUGAGUUUAUCUGAUGACACUUUUGUGGAAUAAAAGUGCUCCGAUGUGAGAAUAUAUACAGUCAUGUGCAGUGGGCUUAUGGAGUGCUUGCUCCAGAAGCAUGAAAUCACACUCAACUUAGCAUCUAACCAGGAGAUAGCCCCAUGACUGUGGUCAUUGACCAUAUCACAUAAUUCAUGAUCCAGGAUCAACCAGCCUGAUAGUGUUGGAAUAGCCUGCUAAAAGCACAUUUGAAGCACCAGCACAGAGGCAAUACCCAUGACAGUGGGGUGCCAUUUUCCUGAAUGCCACAUGCACAUUGAAUUUGAAUUUGAAACUUCUAUAGAGUAUUGUGUUCCCAAAAGGAAAAACUAAUCGGCCUGGGAAAAGAGAGAUGAAAACAGGAGUGGCCUCAUUUACCAUCACUCCCAGUGACUCACUAUGGAUUUUGUGCUUCCCAUCCUUACAGUUUGGGGUUCUGCUUGAUUACCAUUCUGAUCUCCAAAGGAGGCUUAUUCUUAUCUGGGGCAGAGCAAGGGUUUUAUUGAACUACAAGCUGUGGCUGCUGUUGAGGCAUUUUGGAGUCUUUAAGCACCAAGCGGGCAGGAAGGAGUUGCCCUUUUUGCAGGGGUAAUUUAUCCUGAUAAAAAGGUAUGUAGGGCUGUUAUUACACAAUAGAAAUAGGAAUAUGUAUGAAACUCAGGUGAUCCACAUGGGCACCUUUGUGGUAAUUCCUUGUCCAAUUAUGACUGUGGAUGGACAAGUGCAGUGACCCCCACCUGAAAAAGUUACUGUUGUCUUGGUUUCAGACCCUUCAAGAAUGAGUGUGUGGGUCACACCACCAGAUAAUUCACCCAGACCUGCAAAGGUAGGUGAUAGCUGCUAAGACAAUUCAGAAUGGAUGGUUGGAGAGAGAGAUGAAUACCAGUUGUGGCCCCAAGACCAACUGCAGUGAUGUGGCUGAGUUUGACCCACUAACCUUUCUUUUUUAAAAGUCUUACCCUCAGGAUGAGAGGCCCACUGAGGAGUAGCUCCCAGGAUAUGCAUGGAGAAGUGGAUUGAUUUGGUACAAGGGGUGAAAAGUGGCAGUUAUGAAGUGUGCUAUUUAGAUCUCCAAAAGAUAACCAUCCACAGGGAGUGCAGUUAUCUGACAGCACCAGUUGCAGAUACCCUCAGGAUCUUCCUUCAGUGUCCACACCAAUGAGCUGAGGCCAUUCAUUCUGGGCAGUCCACAGGCAAUGACUGCACAUGGUGUUGGUAUCAGGGCUCAUCGUUUCCAGCUAGUGUGAGACUCCUCCUCUAUGGGCAGUCUUGGUGUUGGAGCUCACUGCUAAAUUGGUUGAGACUUUCUCAGAAUGAGCACAGUCUGAGGCUCUUCCUACCUAAUCUUACUUCUCCUUUCAUGUGAGUCAAACCUAUAUCAGGGGCAGAAAUAUUUUUUUUCCUGCUUGUGCUCUCUCUCCUCUUUAUAUUUUAUAGGCAUUAUCUCCAACAAACAUCUCGUACUUUGAACUGCAUCUUGGCUUCUUCUUUCCAAAGGACCUCCUCUCCCAGACUUGCAUCAUCAUCACUGGUAGAUGAUAACUUAGGCUUGAAUAAAUUAAGUGGCUCACCUCAGGUCCCACAAAUGUUAAAUGGACUAUUUUUUCACAAUACUUAUUCUCAUACUGAAUAAUAUCCAUGAAAUCACGCAAUUGAUGUGCAAGUUAUAAUUCCCUAAUUCACAUUGAAAGUAUAACUAACUAUUAAAUUUAAAAUAAAAAACAAGACUAAGUCUGGUCAACUUAGUUAUCCCACACUGGAAAAGUACAUAAUAUCACAUUUUUUUUUUGUUGAGAAUUUGUUUGUUCUAUGAAAGCAUAUUUGGCCAAGAGUUAAUUUUUGAGAUUUAGUCAAUGUAGUCAUUCUGAAGAAAUGGAGUACCUAUCGUCUUACUGAGAAACCAAUUUCAAUGCUUAUGGCUGCCAGCCUGUGUUAGACACAUCCAUCAAAACAGCAAAGGAGAUAGUCCAGUUUUAUGCCCUCCAAGCCAAUAUUCUAUUCCUAUGGCCUCUAAAAUGGAGUAUGUGUACUUAAAGAAAUAUGCAAGAUAAUACACAGAGUGACAAAGGAAAUAUUUUAACUAUUUUGUGAACAUAAAAUUAAACUUUUACUAAUAGGUUGGUGCAAAAGGAAUUGCAGCUUUUGCCAUUACAUUCAAUAGCAAAAACCACAAUUACUUUUGAACCAACCAAAUACUUAAAAUAGGCGGACACCAGUUCAUAUAUUCCACAUGCAUAAACUAUGUAUGCUCAAAAAUGGAGACAACUGUUAAAACCUGCUGUCUAAAAUUAACAAAACACAAGCCUUCCAUUCUAGUGGAGAAGAGGACAAAUAUAAUAAAUUAAUGCUAUAUGCAUAUACACUAUACAUAAAGUAUGUCCUAAGAGCUAUGGAGAAAAAUGUAGAAAAGGAGAACAGGGAGUGCUAGUGUGAGAUUCAAGAUUAAAUGUGGUUCUGAGGUAGGACCUCACUGUAAAGGUGAUGACUAAGCAAAGACCCAAAGAGGGUGAGAAAGCCAGCUCUGUAGGUAACUUGAGAAAAAAGUGCUCCAGAGAGAGGAACUAGGAUUGUCCUUUUGCUAGGGGCACAGCCUAAUAAAAGUAUAACUAACGUCCUUUUUUGUUACAAAGCUGGACAUUCAAAACAUUAAACAUAUUAUAACCAAUUUUUGCCAGAGGUUGCAAGUGUUUUUUGUGAAAAAUCAGACCUUGGCGAUGACCUUGAGCAGUAGGAUAUAAAUAACUCCCACAAGCUUAAUGUUCCAAUAAUGGAACACUAGGCAUAGAUAGGUUAAAGAUCAUUGCUAUCCCCAUACUCUGGACCCCUGCCUGAUGAAUACAUUAAGCUGACACCUGAGACACUGAUUCACCAAUUAACAAACUUCAGGCAUGUUGUUAAUGAUAGAACCUUCAUGACAGUGAUCCAGAGUUCCAGAUUCUAGAGUAUUCAGAGGUGGAAAUUCAUAGUCCAUGCUCAAGAUCGAAUGGCAUCUCUCAGACUGGAAGACCUUUCUGAAGUCAGUUCCAGACAUCCCUGGAAGGCUGGAUAAUUUGGGAAAAGGCUGACUCAAUGUAAGAAAGACUUCCCUGGCCAGGUGCCAUCCCUCGGUGCUUCCACGGUUACUGACGCGUGUAUUCUCCACAGCAAUUACAACUGGAUCAAAAUCAUGGAUCUACAUGCCCAUUUCACCCACUAGACUGUGACGUCAGAGUCGGUGACAUUGCCUUCAACAUCUCCGUAUGCUCAUUACCCAGGGUGGUGCUUUCUACAGAAGGUCCUCAAUCCAUCCUCCUUGAAAUGAAUGGAAACCAACCGGCAUGUGUAAUGAAUGGUUCCAAAAGAGAAUGCUCUAGGAGUGCAGCUUGGGAUGCUAGGAACACACUCCGGUCUGGAGCCCAGCUCACUCCCUGGUUCAUGGUGGAUGUCCAAAAAUAGGCAUGAAAACGAGUGAAGCGAGAAUAUGUACUUCUCAAUUCUCAAGUUAUUAUUGGUGACACCCACCACCUAGUACCAGAUCUCAGGAGGCUGAGAUGGAAAGUUAUGGGAAACUUUGUACCUCUUGCCAGUUGAAUUCAUGACACCCAAUUUUAAAUCUUUUUUCGGCCCCAAAUUUGCCCACAUGACCUAUUUCUAUUGUAACUGCCACUGGAACUUUUGACCAGGGUAAAUCUUGUGCCUUCUUCCAGUGCCUCCUGCUCCCCUCAUCAGUCCCCAUCUGUCCUCUAACCAUGCUGACUUCUGUCCAAACUGCUUCUGGACUGGCCCUGGCAUAGACCUGCAUUAGAGAUGCAAGGCAGCAAGGUGUUUAUUUAUUUAGUUAGUUAGGAAAACAGAACAAAUUCUGGGAUGUAAUGAGAAAUGACAUACACAUAAGAGGCUUAUGACCAAAAUACGUUAAUACUCAUUGCAAAAGAAGUUCUACUUUUUAGCUUUACAUUUGAAGGCUUUAAAAAUAUGUCUGAGAGUGCUAUAGAGAGUUAUACUUUCUUCCUCCCCAUGUGACCUAAACCUCCAAUUCAGCUGCUUAAAUAGCUGACACCGACCCUAAAAUGGAAAGCUCAUAUUACAGAGGAGAAAUAUGUUCUGGUUCUUUUUAUUCUUCUUUAUAAUAAUUCCUCUCGAUUUUGAAAAUUCCCUUUUCAUGUUUGCAGGUAACUAGUUAUCACUUUUAGUUUAAAGCUGUUCCUGCGUGCCAAUGCCCUGAUAUUGGCCAGACCCGUAUAAAUCACUGCCUCUUUCCUUUCUUUUUACCUUCCUCCUUCUCAUAGCUAUUAUACAGAAGUUGAGAUUGUUAUAUAUGUUGUCUAUAAAAGGAUAUGGUACUCUUAUAUAAAAUAGAACACUUAGGAAAUUCAAGUUAAAGUGCAGAAACCUGGAGAAGAAUUAUGGCAGUUUACAUGUUGGGCAAGAUUUAAGAGGGCAUCUACUCCCAAGCUGCCCUUCUCCACUCCAGCCAAUGUCUCCAGACUAUUUUCACAUACUGCUCAGUUUGUACUAUAGAACAAACAAGUAGCAUUUGUUAAGUACUGCAUGUGCAUGAUACUGGGUAUGCCAACCUGGUUCCUGUCCUUUGUCAUUACAGGGUCAUUUCUAUUCAGCCAUAUCACUGCAAAUACACCAUGUCCACAGCUCCUACCACCACGUACAACAUUUCUAUCAGGCUCUACAAAACAAAUCUCUUCUCUAUGACUUUUUCCUUUGGAGCUCAAGGUGAAUCUUUUCAGCUACUUGGUUUAAAGUUUUCCAUAUUUCAGUUCUUCGUAUUUUUUUUUAAAGGACUGCCAGUCGGAGCAAAUGAUUGUUGAUAAUAAUCUCUGGCAGGGGCAUUGGUUUAUUUUCCCUUAUGAAACUUUAAAGGUUAUUUAUUUAUUCAUUUAUUAUUUUGGGGAUGUAGUUUCGCUCUUAUUUCCCAGGCUGGAGGGUGAUGGUGCGAUCUUGGCUCACUGCAACUCUGCCUCCCAGGUUCAAGCAAUUCUCCUGCCACGGCCUCCCAAGUAGCUGGGAUUACAGUCAUGUGCCACCACACCUGGCUAAUUUUGUAUUUUUAGUAGAGAUGGGGGUUUCACCAUGUUGGUCAGGCUGGUCUUGAACUCCUGACCUCAGGUGAUCCACCUGCUUCAGCCUCCCAAAGUGCUAGGAUUACAGGCAUGAGCCACUGCACCCGGCCUAAAGAUUCUUUUAAUGUGGAUGAAGAUUUUUAAUCCAGAGGCAAAGGAAAAAAAAUACCUACAGUUUUAAAACCCAUUUAGGGGACAACUAUGUCCAUGGACAGCUCCCUCUUGCACACUGCAAAUAAGCAAUGUCCCUUCACAGUCAACAUUUUCCAGGCAAUAAACUCUAUACAUCAGAACAUAUACAUGUUACUAGUCCAAAGUCAAAGCUCUCAGUUGAAAAUAACCUGAAGUCCCUUUCAUAGAUUUAUCUGCAUGACUGAACCUGCCUCCCCUAAAGUCCCUCCCUCACAAUCAUCCUUUCAUUAACAUUUGUUUUUCUGGCAUAAUUCCUCUGAGUUACAUCUUAUAUUUAAGUUUAGUCUAGGUAUCACUUUGGGGCAAGUCAAACUUUACAUACUUAAUUGACUUCCCAAACCUCAAACCUCUCUCUCUCCUUCUCCAUCCUUCUUUCAUUGGUUCUAUUUCAGGUUCUUUUCAUCCCUUAUCUAAACUAUUGCAAUAAGCCCCCUAACUGCUCUUCCUGCCUUCAGUCCCUUUGUUUUACAACCAAACUUCAUCACUCAAAGGUUUCUAAGACACAAGCUGGAUCAAGUUUCUCUCUGUCCUUCACAGCUUUCCAUCAGACAAUAAAUCCAAUGCCUUGGCCUAGCAUUUCUCAGCAAACCAGAACCUGAGUCCUACCUGCUGUUUUUCCUUUUUCUGCCACGGCCCACCAAAAUCUCACAACUGACAGAACGUUCUUGCCAUUGUCCUUCUUGUCUCUGUGUUUGUACGUGUCCUUGUUUCUACCUGGAAUUCUCUUUCCCAUUUUCUAAUGAACCAUGGCUCAUUAUUGAAGGCUAACCUCAAAUGUCCCCACCUCAUUAAAGCUGCCUGUUCUGACCUCUCCAGAAGUCAGAUGUACUCUAUCCUGCUGUUCCACAAUACUUUUUAUAAACCUAUAUUAGCACUUCAUACACAGCAUGGUAAUUCUUUCUUGACUUUAUAUUCCACCAAACAGUAAUUUCUUUUAAGGGCAGGAGCCAUGUUAGUUACUCUAUUUUCAGGGCAUAAAAGAAGGCUUGAUGCAUAGUAUGUUCUUAAUUAUAAGCUGAGUAAAUGAAAAUUACUAUGGCAUCCAAAACACUGCAGUUAGAAGCAUGUGAAUAAGAAUCCUAGAGUAUCUCCCACAAAGAUAAAUGUGAAUGAAUAACUUGGGGAAUAUAAGUAGUUUCUUAAACACUAAAACUGCAAAAUAAAAC